GUCUUGGUCCCACGCAAUGAUAGGUUGUGAACCCCGCCAGAUCCGGAAGGAAGCAACGGUAACGAUUGAUGCAUGUGCCGUGGAAAGGCCGAGUCAGC
RNAcentral lists this signal recognition particle RNA (98 nucleotides) under Francisella adeliensis. RNAcentral's name for it is "signal recognition particle sRNA small type". It matches the Rfam family "Bacterial small signal recognition particle RNA". Rfam says of the family: The signal recognition particle (SRP) is a universally conserved ribonucleoprotein involved in the co-translational targeting of proteins to membranes. Archaeal SRP consists of a 7S RNA and homologues of the eukaryotic SRP19 and SRP54 proteins. The record is from RNAcentral. Lineage: Bacteria; Pseudomonadati; Pseudomonadota; Gammaproteobacteria; Thiotrichales; Francisellaceae.